Molecule: ribosomal RNA, 304 nt
Filed under: uncultured bacterium
Lineage: Bacteria
Description: partial 16S ribosomal RNA
Rfam family: Bacterial small subunit ribosomal RNA
Source: RNAcentral
CAGCAGUAGCCACGGUAAUACAGAGGGUGCGAGCGUUAAUCGGAUUUACUGGGCGUAAAGCGUGCGUAGGCGGCUUUUUAAGUCGGAUGUGAAAUCCCUGAGCUUAACUUAGGAAUUGCAUUCGAUACUGGGAAGCUAGAGUAUGGGAGAGGAUGGUAGAAUUCCAGGUGUAGCGGUGAAAUGCGUAGAGAUCUGGAGGAAUACCGAUGGCGAAGGCAGCCAUCUGGCCUAAUACUGACGCUGAGGUACGAAAGCAUGGGGAGCAAACAGGAUUAGAUACCCGUGUAGUCCCUGUCUCUUAUAC